AGUUGAGAACUCUUGAUAUGUAUUAUCGCGCCGGCGCAACGUAGUAGGAGAGGUUGGAAUACUCACGGACAUUCAGAUCAGUCGUCAAAUUGCUCACUCACGAGUUGGGUGUAUAUCUUGUUUGCUUGUUGAUUAAUUGUUAAUCGUUAUUUCCAAUCAAAAUGUCAGCUGAAAAGUACGAUAGAGCAACUCCAGAACUUAAAGCUGAGUUGAAAAGUAUUGCUGAAAAAAUUGUUGCUCCAGGAAAAGGUAUUUUAGCUGCUGAUGAAUCUACAACAACAAUUGGAAAACGUCUUCAAGACAUCAACGUAGAAAAUAAUGAAGAUAAUCGUCGUGCAUACAGACAGCUCCUUUUCACGUCAGCUAAGGAUGUAAUUGGUAACCACAUCUCUGGUGUUAUUCUUUUCCACGAAACUUUAUAUCAAAAAGCAGAUGAUGGAACACCCUUCGUGAAGCUUAUGGAAGAACGUGGAAUUAUUCCCGGAAUUAAAGUAGAUAAAGGUGUUGUCCCAUUGUUCGGAACUGAUGAUGAAUGCACCACUCAAGGAUUAGAUGAUCUUCAGGCUCGCUGUAUUCAAUAUAAGAAAGACGGCUGUCACUUCGCUAAAUGGCGAUGUGUUUUAAAAAUAAAAGGAAACACAUGCCCAAGCAAGCUUGCAAUUUUGGAAAAUGCUAAUGUUUUAGCUCGUUACGCUUCAAUCUGUCAAAGUGCUAGAAUUGUUCCAAUUGUUGAACCUGAAAUUCUUCCUGAUGGUGACCAUGAUCUUGCUCGGUGCCAACAAGUUACCGAAGAGGUUCUUGCUGCUGUAUACAAAGCUCUAAAUGAUCAUCAUGUUUACUUAGAAGGAACAUUAUUAAAACCGAACAUGGUAACACCAGGACAAAGUUGUCCAAAACGCGCAACACCCCAAGAAAUUGCAUCAGCAACUGUUAUUGCUCUCCAACGUACUGUUCCUCCAGCAGUUCCCGGAAUUACAUUCCUUAGUGGUGGACAGUCUGAAGAAGAAGCAUCUGUCAAUCUUGACGCAAUCAAUAAAUAUCCUGGUAAAAAACCAUGGGCACUCACUUUCAGUUACGGACGUGCUCUCCAAGCAUCUGUGCUCCGUGCUUGGGGUGGUAAGAAAGAGCAAGUCAAUGCUGGACAAGAUGAACUUAUCAAAAGAGCUAAGGCCAAUUCUUUAGCUUGUCAAGGCAAAUACACAGCUGGCAGUAUUGUCAGCAAAGCUGCCAAUCUUACUCUCCAUGUGAAAUCUCAUACUUAUUAACCUACUUGUUUGUUUUAUUCACAUUUUUAUGUUCUAUUUUUCUUUUACUUCUAUUUUAUGUUUUGCUAACAGCGAAGCUGCUCUGGGAAAAUAUGCUGGUGGUGUAAGUGGAGCCGCUGGAGAUGCUAAAUUAUUUGUCGCAAAUCACGCAUAUUAAAUUAUUAAAAGAGGACAAUUAUGCAUUCGUUUCAAAGGAUUCAAAAUUAUAAUCAAUAUAACUAUUUAUAAAUAAAUGACAAAUAUUGCCAGGACAGUAUGAAAGGAUAAUGCAAAAUUGUAUCUUUUAUUUUAUUUGCGUUUUGUACUAUUUAUUUAAGAUAAUAACGUCGAAGCUGGACACUCACAAAAGUUUUAUUAGUUAUUUUUGUGUAUGUUAUUUUAUCUAAUAAUGAACAACACAAGAAUAAAAGUUUUAGCUAUUAA
Chelonus insularis is the source of this 1688-nucleotide RNA transcript. It is a transcript of the gene named fructose-bisphosphate aldolase, with no coding region annotated. The transcript is spliced from 5 exons. The record is from RefSeq and is a predicted model, not a curated record. Lineage: Eukaryota; Metazoa; Arthropoda; Insecta; Hymenoptera; Braconidae.